CCUACGGGUGGCAGCAGUGAGGAAUAUUGGUCAAUGGACGCAAGUCUGAACCAGCCAUGCCGCGUGCAGGAAGACGGCUCUAUGAGUUGUAAACUGCUUUUGUACGAGGGUAAACGCAGAUACGCGUAUCUGUCUGAAAGUAUCGUACGAAUAAGGAUCGGCUAACUCCGUGCCAGCAGCCGCGGUAAUACGGAGGAUUCAAGCGUUAUCCGGAUUUAUUGGGUUUAAAGGGUGCGUAGGCGGUCGGAUAAGUUAGAGGUGAAAUCCCGAGGCUCAACUUCGGAAUUGCCUCUGAUACUGGUCGGCUAGAGAGUAGUUGCGGUAGGCGGAAUGUAUGGUGUAGCGGUGAAAUGCUUAGAGAUCAUACAGAACACCGAUUGCGAAGGCAGCUUACCAAGGUACUUCUGACGUUGAGGCACGAAGGCGUGGGGAGCGAACAGGAUUAGAUACCCGUGUAGUC
This 460-nucleotide ribosomal RNA is filed under the name uncultured bacterium. Its description in RNAcentral is "partial 16S ribosomal RNA". It matches the Rfam family "Bacterial small subunit ribosomal RNA", at positions 338 to 795 of the family's 1533-position model. The record is from RNAcentral.